AUUGAACGCUGGCGGCAUGCCUUACACAUGCAAGUCGAACGGUAACGGGCCUUCGGGUGCCGACGAGUGGCGAACGGGGGAGUAAUACAUCGGAACGUGCCCGAUCGUGGGGGAUAACGAGGCGAAAGCUUUGCUAAUACCGCAUACGAUCUACGGAGGAAAGCAGGGGACCGCAAGGCCUUGCGCGGACGGAGCGGCCGAUGGCAGAUUAGGUAGUUGGUGGGGUAAAAGCUUACCAAGCCGACGAUCUGUAGCUGGUCUGAGAGGAUGAUCAGCCACACUGGGACUGAGACACGGCCCAGACUCCUACGGGAGGCAGCAGUGGGGAAUUUUGGACAAUGGGCGCAAGCCUGAUCCAGCCAUGCCGCGUGCAGGAUGAAGGCCUUCGGGUUGUAAACUGCUUUUGUACGGAACGAAAAGCCUUCUUUUAAUACAGGAGGGUCAUGACGGUACCGUAAGAAUAAGCACCGGCUAACUACGUG
RNAcentral lists this ribosomal RNA (482 nucleotides) under uncultured bacterium. RNAcentral's name for it is "partial 16S ribosomal RNA". It matches the Rfam family "Bacterial small subunit ribosomal RNA", at positions 30 to 507 of the family's 1533-position model. The record is from RNAcentral.